Molecule: long non-coding RNA, 484 nt
Organism: Coregonus clupeaformis (lake whitefish)
Lineage: Eukaryota; Metazoa; Chordata; Actinopteri; Salmoniformes; Salmonidae
Exons: 4
Source: RefSeq, a predicted model, not a curated record
UUAUAAAUGUCAUGCUGUCGCCACCGUGAGGCAACAGGCAAGAGGGGAGGACAGCCACUGACAACUUCUUGCAUGAAUUAGUUACAACAUCCAAGUUAAUGAGAGCCAUUCUAGUGAGUGAGUUUGAUGACCUUCAGUUUGGAAACUCUGCUUCAACAUACCUGUGCCAAAUCCAGGUCAGAAACAGGUACUGAUCCGUGAGCAUGUGUGUGGAGUGAACCCAGUGGAGACCUACAUCCGCUCUGGGACCUACACCAGGAAGCCCAGCCUGCCCUACACUCCAGGAACUGAUGUGUCCGGGGUCGUGGAGGCUGCUCAUACAGGCUGGUGACUUUGUGUUCACCACAGCCACAAAGAUGGGAGGGUAUGCAGAAUACACCUUUGUGUCUGAGGACUGUGUCCAGCGGCUGCCAGCCUCCUUAGACUACAAACAGGGAGCUGCCAUUGGGAUCCCCUACUUCACAGCAUACAGAGCUCUCUUCCA